GAUGAACGCUAGCGGGAGGCCUAACACAUGCAAGUCGAGGGGCAGCAUCAUCUUCGGAUGGAUGGCGACCGGCGCACGGGUGAGUAACGCGUAUGCAACCUGCCUUAUACUGAGGGAUAGCCCAGAGAAAUUUGGAUUAAUACCUCAUGGUUCCUGUGAGUCGCAUGGCUUUAAGGAUAAAGAAUUUCGGUAUAAGAUGGGCAUGCGUGACAUUAGAUUGUUGGUGAGGUAACGGCUCACCAAGUCGACGAUGUCUAGGGGUUCUGAGAGGAUGAUCCCCCACACUGGUACUGAGACACGGACCAGACUCCUACGGGAGGCAGCAGUGAGGAAUAUUGGUCAAUGGGCGCAAGCCUGAACCAGCCAUCCCGCGUGUAUGAAGACGGCCUUAUGGGUUGUAAAGUACUUUUAUCUACCAAGAAAAGCAGUUACGUGUAAUUGUCUGACGGUAGUAGAUGAAUAAGCACCGGCUAACUCCG
This 479-nucleotide ribosomal RNA is filed under the name uncultured Bacteroidales bacterium. RNAcentral's name for it is "bacterial SSU rRNA". It matches the Rfam family "Bacterial small subunit ribosomal RNA", at positions 28 to 505 of the family's 1533-position model. The record is from RNAcentral. Lineage: Bacteria; Pseudomonadati; Bacteroidota; Bacteroidia; Bacteroidales.